This 376-nucleotide ribosomal RNA is filed under the name uncultured bacterium. RNAcentral's name for it is "bacterial SSU rRNA". It matches the Rfam family "Bacterial small subunit ribosomal RNA", at positions 29 to 406 of the family's 1533-position model. The record is from RNAcentral.
AUUGAACGCUGGCGGCGUGCCUAACACAUGCAAGUCGAGCGGCAGCGCGGGAGCAAUCCUGGCGGCGAGCGGCGAACGGGUGAGUAAUGCUUCGGAAUCUGCCCAUGUAGUGGGGAAUAACCAGCCGAAAGGUUGGCUAAUACCGCAUACGACCUACGGGUGAAAGCAGGGGAUCGUAAGACCUUGCGCUAUUGGAUGAGCCGAAGUCGGAUUAGCUUGUUGGGAGGUAACGGCUCACCAAGGCGACAAUCCGUAGCUGGUCUGAGAGGACGACCAGCCACACUGGGACUGAGACACGGCCCAGACUCCUACGGGAGGCAGCAGUGGGGAAUAUUGGACAAGUGGGGCAACCCUGAUCCAGCGACGCCGCGUGUGU